RNAcentral lists this ribosomal RNA (417 nucleotides) under uncultured microorganism. RNAcentral's name for it is "bacterial SSU rRNA". It matches the Rfam family "Bacterial small subunit ribosomal RNA", at positions 9 to 420 of the family's 1533-position model. The record is from RNAcentral.
GAGUUUGAUCUUGGCUCAGAUUGAACGCUGGCGGCAUGCCUUACACAUGCAAGUCGAACGGCAGCAUGAUCUAGCUUGCUAGAUUGAUGGCGAGUGGCGAACGGGUGAGUAAUACAUCGGAACGUGCCCUGUAGUGGGGGAUAACUAGUCGAAAGAUUAGCUAAUACCGCAUACGACCUGGAGGGUGAAAGUGGGGGACCGCAAGGCCUCAUGCUAUAGGAGCGGCCGAUGUCUGAUUAGCUAGUUGGUGGGGUAAAGGCCCACCAAGGCGACGAUCAGUAGCUGGUCUGAGAGGACGAUCAGCCACACUGGGACUGAGACACGGCCCAGACUCCUACGGGAGGCAGCAGGUGGGGAAUUUUGGACAAUGGGCGAAAGCCUGAUCCAGCAAUGCCGCGUGUGUGAAGAAGGCCUCGG